AAAAUGCAUGGUAGUACCUGCUCUAUGCAUAAACUGUAAAUGGCCGCAGUAUCUUGACUGUGCGAAGGUAGCAUAAUUAAUUGCCUUAUAAUUGAAGGCUUGUCUGAAUGGUUUGACGUGGUAGUUACAAAUAUUUACUUUUUAGGUGAACUUAAUUUGGAGGGCACAGAAUCCUCCUAUAUUAAUUAGACGGAAAGACCCCAGGAUCUUUUAUUUUUGUCUGGGGCAGAUGUAAAUUUUUUAUUUUUAUUUUGACCCUAUUAUAGUUUAAUGGUUUAAGUUACCCUGGGGAUAACAGUGUAAUAGUUUAUUAGAGAUCUUAUUGAAUAAACUGCUUGCUACCUCGAUGUUGACUUAGGUACUUAAGUUGGGCGCAGUAGUCUAACUUUUUGGUCUGUUCGACCUAACAUAC
This 412-nucleotide ribosomal RNA is filed under the name Ophiotaenia grandis. RNAcentral describes it as "partial 16S ribosomal RNA". It matches the Rfam family "Bacterial large subunit ribosomal RNA", at positions 1842 to 2595 of the family's 2925-position model. Lineage: Eukaryota; Metazoa; Platyhelminthes; Cestoda; Proteocephalidea; Proteocephalidae. The record is from RNAcentral.